Small nucleolar RNA from Andrographis paniculata, 107 nucleotides. The record is from RefSeq and is a predicted model, not a curated record. NCBI's taxonomy places the organism in Eukaryota, Viridiplantae, Streptophyta, Magnoliopsida, Lamiales, Acanthaceae.
AUUUGAUGUUGAGGACAUCACAUAAUUAAAACAUUAAAUCGGUCCCAAUACUCAAAUAAAGACUCCCUUGUUUGUUGUUUGAUCCCACAUAUUUUUUUCCUUAUGUU